RNAcentral lists this unclassified non-coding RNA (271 nucleotides) under Hevea brasiliensis (rubber tree). Lineage: Eukaryota; Viridiplantae; Streptophyta; Magnoliopsida; Malpighiales; Euphorbiaceae. The record is from RNAcentral.
CGACAGAAUCAUGAAUCCUGAAUAGUAAGUUAUAAUCUUAUCCUCCUUGAUUCCCUCUCACCUUUAGAUUUCAGUUUCUGCAUCUUGAUCAAAUUAUGUCUAAUAUAGAUGUAAUUAACUUGGAUCUGGAAUAAAUUAAUUCGCUAAUUAAUUAUAUAUCUGCAAUUUCUUAAUACGUGGUUUAGUUGUUUUUGUUUGGUCCUUUUUUUGAAUAACUUGACGAUUGAAUUAAUUGUUUGCUUUGUUGUUGGCUUGAUUGCUUAGAUCUAGG